CGGGGUGAGUACAACAUAGGAAAUCUGCCUUAGGGUGGGGGACAACAGAGGGAAACUUCUGCUAAUACCCCAUAUGAGCUUGGUUGAAAUACCAAUCUUGAAAGUUCCGGCGCCCUAAGGUGAGCCUGUGCCUGAUUAGCUAGUUGGUGGUGUAAUGGACUACCAAGGCGACGAUCAGUAGCUGGUUUGAGAGGAUGAUCAGCCACAAUGGGACUGAGACACGGCCCAUACUCCUACGGAAGGCAGCAG
RNAcentral lists this ribosomal RNA (249 nucleotides) under uncultured bacterium. RNAcentral's name for it is "partial 16S ribosomal RNA". It matches the Rfam family "Bacterial small subunit ribosomal RNA", at positions 100 to 354 of the family's 1533-position model. The record is from RNAcentral.